Long non-coding RNA from Mytilus trossulus (common blue mussel), 1001 nucleotides. RefSeq lists it as uncharacterized. The record is from RefSeq and is a predicted model, not a curated record. The transcript has 2 exons. Lineage: Eukaryota; Metazoa; Mollusca; Bivalvia; Mytilida; Mytilidae.
AGGUUGAGGUGCAAAGGUUAAGGACUUAGUUAUUUAAAGUAACCUAUUUGUAAACAAGAUUCCGCGCUUAAAAUUUUGACAGGAAGACGUUCAGUUAAAAACUAAAUACAGGCAUUGAUCUUCAUUUGGCAGUUUCCUUUUCUUCACAAAAUGAGCAAAGUUAAAUGUGUAUUCGUCGAUGGGGACAUACCACACCUGCCUUGCGCUAGUUCUCUGAAAUAGGUAGAAGAAGCUUUAUCAGCAAUGGACAACUAAGAGUCAUCAAAGGUAUCAGGAUUAUAAUUUAGCACGCCAGACGCUCGUUUCGUCUACAUAAGACUCAUCAGUGAAUCCCAUACGAAAACAUUCAUAAAGCCAACCAAGCACAAAGUUAAUGAACAUUGAGGAUCCGAAAUUCCAAACAGUUGUGCCAAAUACGGCCAAGGCAACCUAGAAGUUAAGAUUGACAAUUACUUGAGAAUAAAAAAUGAUAUAGAGAUCAAGAUAAAUAAGAGAUGAAAAUAUUAAAUCAUAGUUACAGGUUUUUUUUUUUUAUAAAUAGUAGCCUCACUAAUCAUAAUGAAAAAAACAGUUUAUCACAAACAUUACUACCAAUCGAUCUUGACCCAGUCGUGGCUAUAUAUACCUGUUUUGCUAUCAACGCUACUGAUAUUGGGAUUGUCUAUAUAACACUGUUUCUAAAAAGAAUAUGUUGCUGAUAGAAGUACACCUAACAUCAGAAGAUUACCUUACUACGCUUAAAGAAGUUUCAAGGAAUGAUAAACAGUCAAUAGGAAUAUAGACCAACUGUUUUGAUGUCUGAAAACUACAAGAUCACUUAUUAAACAUCUAUGAUGUGGAUAAAAACAGGGAAAAUACCAUAAUGUAUAAGACAGAACGAUAAUAGUAUGUGACUGAAUUCAGUCAUAGACUUAGAUUUAAAAUUUGUUUGUUUAUAUUGUAUAGAUAUUUCUACUGUACAAACCGAUGUACUUUAUAAUGUCAAUAAAUGAUGGUGCCAG